ACGCUCGACACCUACGGCAGGCAGCAGUAGGGAAUCUUCCACAAUGGACGCAAGUCUGAUGGAGCAACGCCGCGUGAGUGAAGAAGGUUUUCGGAUCGUAAAGCUCUGUUGUUGGUGAAGAAGGAUAGAGGUAGUAACUGGCCUUUAUUUGACGGUAAUCAACCAGAAAGUCACGGCUAACUACGUGCCAGCAGCCGCGGUAAUCUGAGCGGGCUGGCAAGGC
This 223-nucleotide ribosomal RNA is filed under the name uncultured bacterium. RNAcentral describes it as "partial 16S ribosomal RNA". It matches the Rfam family "Bacterial small subunit ribosomal RNA", at positions 326 to 539 of the family's 1533-position model. The record is from RNAcentral.